GACCUCUGACUCCCAAGCCCGGGCUCUUUCCACUGAGCCACGCUGCUUCUCUUGGGGAAGUCAGGGACUGGUUACCUGUGCCAUAUCAGUCCCCGAUUUUCCUAGUAUCAAUCAGUCAACGGUUACCGAGCACCCACUAUGUGCUUAUACUAAGCACUCGGAUGAGUACGGCAGAGGUGCGGACAGGUGGAAGGACGUAUGGAAGAUAUUGGCAGAGGGAACAAUGCACGAUGGGGAAAAGUCAUAUUGAGAAGGGCUGGAGCAGCGUCUUCAGAAAUCCAAAGGAAGAUUGCUGCAGUCUAUCAGCUUCCUCCGCACUGAGGCGGGCAGUUAUCAGACCCAAAGAACAUCCGACCGAGCGGCGCUGCUCUGAACCAUUCUUGGCCCAACACUGCAGCACAGACCAUAAUCCAAGUUUCAACUCCCAGGGUGCCCUCUCCUCAUCCCUGGGCUGAGAUGAACCAAUGGAUGAUGAGUGGAUCCUGGAGGAAUCAAGUUUCUUCACCACCUGCUGAAAUUUUGGGAUUCAAAAACCUUUCUUCAAUAUUCAAGAAAGUGGAUGAAUUUAUAAAUAUGCUCAGAGAAGACCCUAAUGGAGAGAAAAUUUC
Molecule: long non-coding RNA, 608 nt
Organism: Ornithorhynchus anatinus (platypus)
Lineage: Eukaryota; Metazoa; Chordata; Mammalia; Monotremata; Ornithorhynchidae
Exons: 3
Source: RefSeq, a predicted model, not a curated record